CGCCUCUUGAUCAAAAAUAAGAGGUCCAGCCUGNCCAGUGACUCUGUUUAACGGCCGCGGUAUCCUAACCGUGCGAAGGUAGCGUAAUCACUUGUCCUUUAAAUAGGGACUAGUAUGAACGGCACCACGAAGGUUAUACUGUCUCCUUUUUCCAAUCAGUAAAACUAAUCUCCCCGUGAAGAAGCGGGGAUUAAUUUAUAAGACGAGAAGACCCUAUGGAGCUUUAAACUACGUAACAAUUGCUUGACAUCCCUAGAUUUCAGAAUCACUCACACCUAUUAUAGCUUAAUGAUUACUAGUUUUAGGUUGGGGUGACCGCGGAGUAAAAGACAACCUCCACUUUGUAUGGAAUUAAAUUCCUGAGCCAUGAGACACACCUCUAAGCACCAACUAAUUGACAUCAAUUGACCCAUUAUUAUGAUCAACGGACCAAGUUACCCUAGGGAUAACAGCGCAAUUCGCCUCAAGAGCCCCUAUCGACAGGCGAGUUUACGACCUCGAUGUUGGAUCAGGGUACCCAAGUGGUGCAGCCGCUACUAAAGGUUCGUUUGUUCAACGAUUAAAACCCU
RNAcentral lists this ribosomal RNA (569 nucleotides) under Ecnomiohyla fimbrimembra (Heredia treefrog). RNAcentral describes it as "partial 16S ribosomal RNA". It matches the Rfam family "Bacterial large subunit ribosomal RNA", at positions 1816 to 2597 of the family's 2925-position model. Lineage: Eukaryota; Metazoa; Chordata; Amphibia; Anura; Hylidae. The record is from RNAcentral.